This 1196-nucleotide unclassified non-coding RNA is filed under the name Hevea brasiliensis (rubber tree). Lineage: Eukaryota; Viridiplantae; Streptophyta; Magnoliopsida; Malpighiales; Euphorbiaceae. The record is from RNAcentral.
CAAAUGGAUAGAGUGAAUCUAAAAGAUAAAGCAGGGGAAUAAAAAGUCCCCUCAGAAUCCCCUCAGAAAAUGUUUUAUCAUGCUAUUGACAUUUACAAGAGCUUGAUAAGCCCAAGACCAUAAUCCCCUUAAAAGAUUGGGAUCAAGGUCAUUUCCACUUGUCAUUUCUUGUGGGCAAUACAACAGGCAUAUCCUUGGUUUUACUUGUUAGGCAUCUGCAAUUAUUGCUAUCUUGCUAUGUUACAAAUUUGCUUUGUGCAACCUCCAGCAGCUGCACCUCAGUUUCACAUUUAAUGGCUCCAAAAGUGAAUAGAUUGACAUAAUUCGCAGAACCCAGCAACAGAAGCCAUUAUUCUUCCACUGCAUUGCUUAAGAAUUUGAUCUCAUGUAUUGAACUUGUAAAAAGGAUUAAUUUAGGGGCUUAGGGGCUCCCAUGCUCAAAGCUUGACAAACGAUGAUCUGAUAGAACAGCAAAUAGUUGUGUGUCUACAAAUAGCUUUAUAAACGGUCGGUCCCUACUGGGAAACGAAUCAAUAAAACUGUCUUUAAGAAGUAAGCAAACCCUGUCAUUGUUUGAUUGUACAUUAGUUAUUGUAUGGGACCUCAAAUCUGAACAAAUAGAAUCCAAGUAGCGUCUCAUAAUGGUCAAAAAUUGGGUUGCAGCUUCAGCCUGAGUUUCAUUGCACCUGUAUACAGGAUGCUUUUUAGCAAUCGAACUUUGAAUUGAUAGUUUAGCAUGAAAUGGUGCAAGUUCGGAAACAAGCUCUUUAUACCGUGGAAGUGCUGGCAGGUGGCACAUUUUUACCUGAUCCUUGAGCACAUUAACAUGGACAAGAUUAGAUGUUUUCAUCUUCAAGUCUGCCGGUUUUUGUUGUAUGCCAACAAUAAAGGGAACUGGAGCAUCAAGAAAAUCAAGCAUUCUCCCAGGCAGAAUUGGAAGAAAUAAACUCUGCCAUUGAAAUGGACGAAUCAUGGGAACAAGAGAUAAAACUAUAGCAGAUAGAACACCCAGGUUUGGGCAUACUACCACCACUUGUUUUUCCAGUAAUACUCCCGCAAUUAGCGUCAAAACACUUUCAAGUGAUAGAACUCGACAUAUAGUUGCAGUUGUCCAUAUUGAGAGUGCAAAAGCUUCUUCAGCAGCUGCCAACUUUGCAUUGACCUCAGUAGCUUCAACCAUAGCUAAAUAAUUUUCA